CUUUUCGUCACAACGGUGCGGUAAAGCGAGUGCGAUACUGACCCCGCUGCUCCGAUUCUCCGGCCAAACUCAUACUCCAUCUUCCCCUUACUUGUGAACAAGACCCCGAGGUACUUGAACUCCUUCACUUGGGGUAAGGACACAUUCCCUACCUGGAGUAGGCAAUCCAUCGGUUUCCUGCUGAGAACCAUAGCCUCAGAUUUAGAGGUGCUAAUCCUCAUCCCGACCGCUUCACACUCGACUGCAAAUGCUCCAGUGAGAGUUGCAGGUCACAGACGGAAGAUGCCAUCAGGACCACAUCCUCUGCAAAAAGCAGCAAUGAGAUCUACAGCCCUCCGAACUGUAGACCCUCCUCCCCCCGACUACGCCUCGAUAUCCUGUCCAUGAAAACCACAAACAAGAUUGGUGACAAGGCGCAGCCCUGGCGAAGGCCAACCCCCACCGGAAACGCCUUCGACUUACUGCCGAGCACCCGAACACAGCUCUCGCCUUGGGCGUAGAAGGAUUGGAUGGCCCCAAGCAAGGACCCCCUCACCCCGUACUCCCGCAGCACCUCCCACAGUUUCUCUCGGGGGACCCGGUCAUGCGCCUUCCACAAAACACAUGCAGACUGGAUGAGCAUACUCCCAAGCCCCCUCUAUGAUCCUAGAAAGAGUGAAGAGCUGGUCCGUUGUUCCAUGACCAGGACGAAAACCGCAUUGUUCCUCUUCAAUCCUUGGUUCGACUAUCGGCCGAACCCUCCUUUCCAGCACCUUAGAGUAGACUUUACCCGGGAGGCUGAGUAGUGUGAUACCCCUGUAAUUGGCACACACUCUCUGGUCCUCCUUUUUGAAGAGGGGUACCACCACCCCGGUCUGCCACUCUUUUGGCACUGUCCCAGACUUCUACGCAAUGUUGAAGAGGCGUGUCAUCCAAGACAACCCCCAAAAACCCAUUGCUUUUAGCAUCUCUGGACGGAUCUCAUCAAUCCCCGGGGCUUUGCCACUGCGGAGUUGUUUGACUACCUCAGUGAUCUCCACCAGGCCAAUUGACGAUGAUCCCUCCUCCGCCUCCAGCUCCGGCUCUACCAAAGAGGGCGUAGUAGUUGGAUUCAGGAGUUCCUCAAAGUGUUCCUUCCACCGUCCGAUAACCUCCUCAGUCGCGGUCAACAGGGUCCCAUCCUUACUGUACACAGCUUGGAUGGUUCCCCGUUUCCCCCUCCUGAGGUGACGGAUGGUCUUCCAGAAGCACUUUGGUGCCGACCGAAAGUCCUUCUCCAUAGUUACCCCGAACUCCUCCCAUACUCGCUGCUUUGCCUCCAUCACGGCAGAGGCUGCUGCCCUUCGAGCCUGUCGGUACACUGCAACUGCCUCCGGAGUCCCACCGGAUAUCAUAACCCGGAAGGCCUCCUUCUUCAGUCGGACGGCUUCCCUGACCACCGGUGUCCACCACGGGGUUCGAGGGUUACCGCCCCUUGAUGCACCUGAAGACCUUGAGGCCACAACUCACUGCCGCGGCUUCAGCAAUGGAGGUUUUGAACAUUCACCACUCUGGUUCAAUGUCCCCUACCUCCACAGGAAUGUGAGAGAAGCUCUGCCGGAGGUGUGAGUUGAAAAUCUUUUCGACCGGGGCCUCCUCCAGACGUUCCCAGUUCACCCUCACUACACACUUGGAUUUACCGGGUCUGUCCCGAGUCUUCCCCCAUCCUCUGACCCAGCUCACAACCAGAUGGUGAUCAGUUGACAGCUCUGCCCCUCUCUUUACCAGUGUCCAGAACAUGCGGCCUCAGAUCAGACGAUACGAUUACAAAAUCGAUCAUUGAUCUUUGGCCUAGGGUGCUCUGGUACCACGUACACUUAUGAACAUCCUUAUGCUCGAACAUGGUGUUUGUUAUGGACAAUCCGUGACUGGCAGUAACAAACAAAGUAACAAAGUCCAGUAACAAACACCCGCUCGGGUUCAGAUCAGGGAGGCCAUUCCUCCCAAUCACGCCUCUCCAGUUAUCUCCAUCGUCGCCCACGUGCGCAUUGAAGUCUCCCAGUAGGACUAUGGAGUCCCCUACUGGAGCCCCAUGCAGGACUCCAUUCAGGGUCUCCAAAAAGGCCGAAUACUCUGAGCUGCUGUUUGGUGCAUAUGCACAGACAACAGUCAGAGUUUUCCCCCCCACCACCCGAAGGCAUAGGGAGGCAACUCUUUUGUCCACCGGGGUAAACUCCAAUGUAGCAGCACUCAGCCGGGGUCUUAUGAGUAUCCCCACACCCUCAAACCUCAGUGAUAAUAGAAGUUCAUUUAGGGUUGUCAAAAUUCGAGAGUGUAAAUCAGGUUGAUGCGCGCGCGUAAAUCAAACAUCCGCGAGCAAAUCUCCGUCUCGCGCGAGCAAAAGUUCAUCUUGCGCGAGAUAUUUUCUCCCUCGUGAAACGUGAACUUCCUCGCUCGCGAGGUUAGUCUCUGCUCGCACUCGAAGGUGUUUUCUACGCACUCGCUGUUUUUCUUUUUGACAGUAAGAGGCCGGAGCCAAUCACCAUGGUAUCUACAUCUGAUUGGUUACAAACCCUGUCUUUGGAUUGGCUGGAGUGAUGCAUUCACACAACUAUAGAAGCCCAUUUCCGCACUAGAAAGGGGAUGGAAAGUCGAAAUUAUGAGAUAAAACGUUGUCAAAAAACAAACGCCCCCUUCGGUAAUCGUAGUGGACCGUAGAUGACAACCAGCUACAAGCAUCAUUUACCAUAAUCAUCAUUACCGGCACAUUAAGAGCAAUGCGUCCAGCUCGCAGACCGGUCUGUCAGUCUAAAUCUGAAUAUCUUGCAAACUUUACCGACUUUUUUUUUUAAAAAGUCGAUCCGUAUUGAAAGUUGGCAAGAUAUUCACAGAUCUGGACUUUUUCCCGGUAUUUUACAAAUACGGACCGGACCCUAAAGAAAGGGGAUGGAAAGUCGAAAUUAUGAGAUAAAACGUUGUCAAAAAACAAACGCCCCCCUUCGGUAAUCGUAGUGGACCGUAGAUGACAACCAGCUACAACCAUCAUUUACCAUAAUCAUCAUUACCGGCACAUUAAGAGCAAUGCGUCCAGCUCGCAGACCGGUCUGUCAGUCUAAAUCUGAAUAUCUUGCCAACUUUACCGCCUUUUUUUUUCAAAAAGUCGAUCCGUAUUGAAAGUUGGCAAGAGAUUUGCUUGCGCGAGACGGAGAUUUGCUCGCGGAUGUUUGAUUUACGCGCGCGCAUCAACCCAACCUCGAAUUUUGACAGUGAUUUGCCGCCAUAGUACGAUGAAACGCUCAGGCCCUCAUGUACGUAUAUUGCAAAUGUAGCGUUAUCAGCGCCACGGCCAACCCACAGAAACCGCAUGCUGUAUUACCUCAGCUUACAUUGUAUUUUGGAAACCUGCAGCUCAUCAGGUAAUCAGCACCUUUCUCUGCCCACCAUACAACACAUUUAAAUGCGCAAUUCAUUGGACCUCCUUCUCUUAAAGGGUUAGCCAAAACAGCAAAAACAAAAGUUCAGUGACAACGAAGCUGAAAUUAUUUCGGCAUUAGUUACUAGGGAAAUGUAUGUAUUGACUAGUGCGCUGUAGAAAAGCAUUUGUGCUGUGAUACAGCUGAGUGGAAAAAAUUGAAAUGAUCCUGAUCAUCCAGUAAUUGUAAGGAGGAGGUGGGUUUAACAACUGCUGGAAUGGAAUGUGAAUGCUGAGUCUGAGAUUCAAUGUCAUCUUUGAUUUUAUCCAGUAACUCUAAUGUGAUCCUUGUGGCCAAAAUCUUUUUAGCCAUAUUUGCCAUUUUCAUUUUUUUGCGACAGGCAGUCUAUGCUUUCGCCUCAAUGCGCCUUGUGCAUACCUCGCCAUGCUUUUACGGGCACCUUGCAAAACAAAUACACCUGAAGUAGGAGCAAAAGUGUUAGUACAUGAGGCCUUCAGUGUUCUGGUCCAUUGGCCCCGAGGUAUGAUGUCUGGUUCAGUAACAGGAGCAAGUCUGUUGAGAUUAAAGCACUUGUAGAGGUGGCAUAGCAGAGAAAUUGGGCAGAAGCUCUUGACAUGCGCUGAGUCUCUAGUUUGAGAAGACAUUAAAUCUGGAUCAUUGGGAAUUUUUUUGUCAGCAUGCACUUAUCAGCUUGAGGAUCCAUUUCUUUACCAGAGGUCCAAAGUGUAUGAUCUCUUCAAAUAAAAUGUUAUUCACUCUGAUGGCUCUUUCGGUUUUAAAGGCGUGAACGCCAUAUCAGCGUUCACGUUCAGUCCCAUGCAGUGACUAGCAGUGAUGUCAGUAAGAGGGUAGGCAGGGAGUAAUGAAAGCCCGAUUACCUGAUUUGUUGUUCAGGCUAACACGUCAAAACAGUAAAUGUUACUGUGGGUAAGUGGGGAGCACGGUUGUCCUCCAAUCAGAGGGUUGGCGGUUCAAUCCGAUCCCUGUCUAACCUGGAUGUCGACGUGUCCUUGAGCAAGACACUUAACUCAACAUUGCACCUGUAGCUGCGACUGCAGUGUGGGAAUGUUAGUUACUGAUGGUAACUGUCUGGUAGCUCCUGUCAUCAAUGUAUGAAUGGGUGAAUGAUGUCGUGUUAAAGCGCUUCGAGUGGUUGGAAGACUAGAAAGACGCUAUAAAAGUACAGUCCAUUUACACACAAGCGUAACACACCCCCAAAAAAGACUGCAGACAGUGUCCUCUUAGGACAGUUCUAGCUUUCGCAACCGAUUGUAACAUUAUUGACGACAAAGUCCAGCCUCUCUGACUUUAUUGCUUAAUUAUUGCAAAGCGGGCAAUUAUAUUUGUCAGUCAGCAUCAAUGAAAACACGCACGGCUCAACUGAAUAUGAAGAAAUGUGGCUUGUUGUCCGCAUCCAUUCAACCACACUUAUCAAUUCAAUAGUAAGCCUGAAAUAGUUUCUGACUCACCAAUCAGUAUUUGUGCAUAAAAUCUAUCCGCCGCUCUUUCAUCGUGACCACGUCGAUCACAGCAUUGUAAAACUCAUUUCAGAUCUGUGAUAUCAGCAAACACCGCUGUCAUAUUGACUUUGAAUUUCCAGGGGAUUACGCUUAAAACGUACUUUGUGUAGUGACGUCAGCUGCGCAAAUGUCCAGUAAUGUCUCGAUUUGAAUUGGUCCAUGUUUGUGGAGUUGUGGCUUUUGAAGUACAUGUUGAAGAAUACUGUAUCGAAGUGUGCAUUCGCUUGUCGUUCGCAAUGAAUGGACGUUAAAAGCACUGCUUAUUCUACCAUUUCUUUGUAUUUGACUAUGCGAAUGGCUAUAUUUGUCAUCGUAACGACUGACAAACACAAUAUCAGGGUUCUACCCUGAUCUCCAUCGUCCGCUGUUGAAGGACUUACGUUUUUUUUGCGUCGUUGAUCAAAUUGAGCUGUCAGUUUUCGGCCACAUUUCUACUGCAUCUCCAUCUGCGUUGUUGUUGCCGUAUCCCCAUUCUGUGCUGUGGCUGUCUUUUGCUUGGUAGAAUUUGCAAAUUAACCGAAGUGUAUGCUUCUACCAUGAUCCCCUGAUUGAUUAGGUAAUAUUACGUUGUAAAUCUGAAACCGAAAGCCUGUUUGCUCAUAGACCUUUAGAACUUAUUUACAUACAACACAUAUUAUUGUCUAAAAACAUUUAGACUACAUGAUCCUUUAUUCUUAAUCAUGGUAUGAGACUGAAACAGUUUUGGCAUCAGAUUUGACUUCAUUAAAUGAGUAAGUGAUGAUGCAGAACCAACAGAGUAGUGCACAUCAUCGGCUUCUAUUGUGACGACAACAGAGCCAUCGCUACGGAUCACAAGUCCGCACAUAGUGUCAACAGAGUGUGUUUUUAGAGAGACAAUCGCCCUCUGGCUUGGCCUUCACCUCACUCACCUGCGCCUGUCCAAAUGGCAGCAUGUGGUCCAAUCACUUGUCAGUAAAGUUAGAGGACAAUCCAGUGUUAGAUGUAUUAUAUAUAUGUUAUUUACUAUGAAGUCGUUCACAUCACUUCACUGUUUUAUUUGGUAGAUUACAGAUCCACACCUCUCAUGUCACUUUACUGUCCUUUUUCACUUUCCUGCUGUUUUUUCCCUACACCUGUCUCCAGUUUCCCAUCACACACCACUCUUUCUUCUUCAGUAACUCAAAUAACCACUUGUUACAACUAAGGAAUGCAGAAUACCAUCUCUGAAUGCACAAUACGUCGAAGCUUGAAUAAAAUGGGCUACAGCAGCAGAAGACCACAGACCACUCAGCUGCAACAUUCUGAUGGUAGGGUCAAUUUGGAAUAAACAACAUGAUAGCAUGGAUCCAUCCUGCCUUGUAUCAACGGUUCAGGCUGGUGGUGGUGUAAUGGUGUGGGGGAUAUUCUUUUCCCUUUAUGACCACAGUGUCCCCGUCUUGGCUACUUCCAGCAGGCAAGCUCAUAUCAUCUCAAACUGUUUUCAUGAUGCCCUCCACAGUCACCAGAUCAAAAUCCAAUAGAGCACCUUUGGGAUGUGCUGGAACGGGAGAUUUGCAUCAUGGAUGUGCAGCUGACAAAUCUGCAGCAACUGCGUGAUGCUACCAUGUCAAUAUGGACCAAAUUCUCUGAGGAAUGUUUCCAACACCAUUUUAAAAGUAUGCCACAAAGAAUUAAGGCAGUUCUGAAGGCAAAACCUAAUAAAUUGUCCGGGGAGGGUAUGUUUCCCGUAGUGCAACUGGAUAGCGUCUUCAAUUGGAUGCUCACUAUAGUUUGAGCUGCAUGACCUCCCUAGCAAAUUAAGCUGACUCAGGUGUCAUCAUACAUCAAAUAGAGUGAGAGAGGGAGAUUGUGUCCGUCCUCUGUUAGAAAAGGUGUUGUAUUAGCUAGUAUCCCUUGUCUGAACCCUUUGGGGUGUUCUUACUAUACUGGCCCUGGGGGGUGGUAGCCAGCUUAAAAGGCCUGUCAAUAGAUUUAAAACAAUGUAUCUCACAUUUUAGAAAAUUUUGAUUAUUUGCAAUUUAGAAUUUAUUUUUCAUCCAAAGACCUUGUGUACUGAUGCUUUUGUGACCACUUCAGGCGUUUUUGUUUCACAAUGUGCGCAUAAAAGCAUGACGAGGUACGAACAAACAUGCCACACUGAGUUAAAAGCUGCCUGUCGUGUGAACUGAAAAUGGCAAAUUGCGCUUUUCCAUGUCAUGCAAAUGCAUAUCCAUGAUAGAAAGAGAGAAGGAGGCUCAUUCAAAUGCACAUUUAAAUGCUCGCAGUGAACAUUAUAGUGGGCGGAGAAAGGCGCUGAUCAACCGAAGAACUGCAGGUUUCUUACAUACGACUGAAGUAUCACAGCAGGCGCUUUCCGCGGGUUGGCCAUGGUGCUGAUAAGGCUACGUUUGCAAAUCGACUUACACUAUUUUAGACACUGUAUAAUUGUUUUGUUUUUUAAACACAUUUGAUCAUCUCUAAGGACGAAUUCCACCGGUUGGCAACAUCUUGAACUAGCGACUCUUCCUGCUGUCAUUGGGCAGUGUGCUGUGCUGUGCUCUUAACUCUCCAUCAUUUGACGGGCGGGACAUUUAGCUAGGACGGGUCUCGGUCUCUCCGAUCUAACUGACUGCAGUUUCAGGGGUUGCGUUAAGUGAGCUAAAAUAUUUUAUUGCAUUAAUCUCUGCCACAAUAAUCUCAUAGGCCCUACUUGUCAUGAAACAUAAAAGUGGAUUUCCAAACCAGAUUGGUUGAUGCCUGGAAUGAUGAGAUGGAAACAGAUGAUCCCCAGUGGCAACCCUUAAAGGAAACACCCAAAAAGAAGACUCUGGCAUGUGGCAUAUACAGUGGCACUAAAGAUUAUUCAACCGCUAGAUGUAUUUACAACUUGCAGAUGUAUUCAAUAAAUAACUCAAAAAAAGACAAUUUAAAUAGCUCAAUACAACUAAUGUUACAAAGGGUUUCUCCAAAUUCUAAACAAAAUGACACUUUCAAUACAGUCUCAAAAUGAUUAAACUUGCUUAAUAGAAUCCCUCAUUAGAGCACACAUUUACAAAUCAGGUGUUGUCUCAAGCACAUGGAUUUGAUACCUUCAGCACACCUGAGACACCUAUUCUAAAUACAUGUUGCAUAUUAAAAGUAUGGUAAAUGUUAACAGAAGAGACAAACAAUAAAAUGCCCACAAAAGAUAUCAAAAGUGCUGUACUGUAUGCUCCCACAAAUAUUUGCUUAGUUCACUAGCAUUCAGUCACUACAUGGGUGUGGCAGAUAGAGGAAGCCAUCUACAGCUGACACUAGAUUUGUGACUUGCAGCCAGGCUUUGGGUCAGCAGGCCCUGGUGUUGACCUAAACCCAAAAGCAUGAGAAAAAUCCACUCAAAUAAUCUCCGAACCAUAUUCAGGAAGAAGGAAGCACACGUUGAGAAGAAGGACCUGCCUACAGAGAAGCGUGGCGGUGGCUCUGUGAUGCUCUGCAGCGGCAUUGAUUCUUCUGCCGCUGGAAACCUGCAACGUGUGGAGAAUGAGAUGGAUCGGGCAGUCCGAGGAGAAAAGGUCAGGUCCUUUGUGAAGGAGUUCGGCCCUUCCAACAAGAGAAUGAUCAAAAGAAUACCUCAAAGUCCACCGCGGCCCUGUUCUGAGAAUAUUAAAGAGCUGGAAACCAUUACCCAUGAUGCAUCAUCUGACGCUGUCAGAACCUGGCCUCUGGCUAUUACCAUUGCGUCAGGUAAGGAAGGAAACUGGCACACACAUCCCCAUCCAUAUCAACGGGACGGAGGUUGAGCGUGUCGCCAGCUUCAAGUUCCUGGGUGUCCACAUCUCUAAGGACCUCUCUUGGACCCUCAACAUCUCAUCCCUGCAAGAAAGCACA
Long non-coding RNA from Gasterosteus aculeatus aculeatus (three-spined stickleback), 8719 nucleotides. NCBI's taxonomy places the organism in Eukaryota, Metazoa, Chordata, Actinopteri, Perciformes, Gasterosteidae. The record is from Ensembl.